GAUGAAGAACGUAGCGAAGUGCGAUAAGUAGUGUGAAUUGCAGAAUUUCGUGAAUCAUCGAAUCUUUGAACGCAAAUUGCACUCUCCGGUUUUCCGGGAGAGUAUGCCUGUUUGAGGGUCAGCCUAAAUAAAUUCGGCUUCGUUGCUGUUGUUUUCGCGGUAACGUUUUUAGUCGGGAUUUGGGUCAUCUUAAACCGAAAGGUUUUUAAGCGACUUAAAAUUUUUUUACGAUCCCACGAACGUUUCUAAGUACUUCUUACACGUUCAAGGUAUCGAAAACCCCUAUUAGGCGUGGCCGUCGUAUCGGAUCGCGUCCACAAUAUUUAUUCUUUAACUGACCUCAGACAGGUAAGAAUACCCGCUGAACUUAAGCAUAUCAAUAAGCGGAGGA
RNAcentral lists this unclassified non-coding RNA (391 nucleotides) under soil metagenome. RNAcentral's name for it is "partial contains 5.8S ribosomal RNA, internal transcribed spacer 2, and large subunit ribosomal RNA". The stretch from base 1 to 121 matches the Rfam family "5.8S ribosomal RNA", at positions 35 to 154 of the family's 154-position model. The record is from RNAcentral.